Molecule: ribosomal RNA, 305 nt
Filed under: uncultured bacterium
Lineage: Bacteria
Description: bacterial SSU rRNA
Rfam family: Bacterial small subunit ribosomal RNA
Source: RNAcentral
UUAUCCUACGGGGCGCAGCAGUGGGGAAUAUUGCACAAUGGGGGAAACCCUGAUGCAGCGACGCCGCGUGAGGGAAGACGGCCUUCGGGUUGUAAACCUCUGUCGCAGGGGACGAAGGAAGUGACGGUACCCUGUGAGGAAGCCACGGCUAACUACGUGCCAGCAGCCGCGGUAAUACGUAGGGUGCAAGCGUUAUCCGGAUUUAUUGGGCGUAAAGGGCUCGUAGGCGGUUCGUCGCGUCCGGUGUGAAAGUCCAUCGCUUAACGGUGGAUCCGCGCCGGGUACGGGCGGGCUUGAGUGCGGUA